This 253-nucleotide ribosomal RNA is filed under the name uncultured bacterium. RNAcentral describes it as "partial 16S ribosomal RNA". It matches the Rfam family "Bacterial small subunit ribosomal RNA", at positions 524 to 776 of the family's 1533-position model. The record is from RNAcentral.
UACGUAGGUGGCAAGCGUUGUCCGGAAUUACUGGGCGUAAAGCGUGCGCAGGCGGUUCGCAAAGUCUGAUGUGAAAGCCCCGGGCUCAACCUGGGAACUGCAUUGGAAACUAACGGGCUCGAGUGUGGCAGAGGGGGGUGGAAUUCCACGUGUAGCAGUGAAAUGCGUAGAGAUGUGGAGGAACACCGAUGGCGAAGGCAGCCCCCUGGGCUAACACUGACGCUCAGGCACGAAAGCGUGGGGAUCAAACAGG